UGUCGAAAGGCGCCCAAUCUUUAAAACUUUUAUAUUUGUUCUGAAACAAUGAAAAUUUAAAACUUUCAACAACGGAUCUCUUGGUUCUCGUAUCGAUGAAGAACGCAGCAAAGCGCGAUAGGUAAUGCGAAUUGCAGACGUGAGUCAUUGAAUUUUUGAACGCAUAUUGCGCUAUUAGUUUGUCUAAUAGCAUGCUUGUUGGAGUGAUAAUCUUCCUCUCAACCAUUUUUGGUAUGAGGUCUUGCUCCUUUUAGGAGUUAAAAUCAUGGAAGUGCACACGUUAAUUAACUCUGUGCAGUUAUACACUUUUCAUCCUCCAAUCAAGCAAGGUUACCCGCUGAACUUAAGCAUAUCAAUAAGCGGAGGAA
RNAcentral lists this ribosomal RNA (368 nucleotides) under Starmerella aff. zemplinina Cz5b. Its description in RNAcentral is "eukaryotic LSU rRNA". The stretch from base 61 to 209 matches the Rfam family "5.8S ribosomal RNA". Lineage: Eukaryota; Fungi; Ascomycota; Dipodascomycetes; Dipodascales; Trichomonascaceae. The record is from RNAcentral.